RNAcentral lists this ribosomal RNA (403 nucleotides) under uncultured bacterium. RNAcentral describes it as "partial 16S ribosomal RNA". It matches the Rfam family "Bacterial small subunit ribosomal RNA", at positions 28 to 526 of the family's 1533-position model. The record is from RNAcentral.
GACGAACGCUGGCGGCGUGCCUAAUACAUGCAAGUCGAACGCAGUGGGGACGGGUGAGUAACACGUGGGUAACCUCCCAUCAGAGGGGAUAACACUUGGCAACAGGUGCUAACCCGAUAUUGAUUGAUGGACCCGCGGUGCAUUAGCUAGUUGGUGGGGUAACGGCUCACCAGGGCCACGAGGCAUAGCCGACCUGAGAGGGUGAUCGGCCACACUGGAACUGAGACACGGCCCAGACUCCGACGGCAGGCAGCAGUAGGGAAUAUUCGCCAAUGGACGAAAGUCUGAUCGAGCAACGCCGCGUGAGUGAAGAAGGUUUUCGGAUCGUAAAGCUCUGUUGUUAGGGAGGCGGUAUCUAACGAGAAAGCCACGGCUAACUACGUGCCAGCAGCCGCGGUAAUUC